GACAAGGGCGAGCGGAGGCUGCAGCGGGGGAGGGUGGAAAGCUGGGGGGAAGGUCUGGGGGUGUGAAGCAGAGGGGUGGCGGAAUAGGGUUGGGGUCCUCCAGGACCCCCCGACCCCCCAUCCCCUUGGGAGCGGGUUGGUUUCACGCAUCCCUCCUCCCCGACACGCGGAGCGAAACACACCUUGCAGGGAUGAAGAGGAUGAGCAAGAAUGAAAAGGGGAAGGCGAGGCACACGGUGCACGUGCAGGUGGGGGAAGACAUAGUGGUGAUAGAAGACGAUGAGGAGGAUGAGGAGGACAAGGAGCUGGGGCACGGAGAAGGCUCAGAAAGCUGUGAAGGACACGAAACCAGGCAGGGGUUGCAAGAAGGUGAGCAGGAAAGCACGGGUGGCAAAAGAAAGCCGCAGGUGAAAGCCAAACGCAAGAAGGGAGCGUAUAAAUGCAAUGAGUGCGGGACGACAUUCAACUGGAGGCAUAACUUGGUCCGUCACCAGCGCCUGCACACAGGCGAGCGGCCCUACAAGUGCUCUGAGUGUGGGAAGGGCUUCAACGACAGCUCCCCUCUGCUCAUCCACGAGAUGCUCCACCGCGGAGAGAAGCCCUACAAGUGCCUGAGCUGCGGGAAGAAAUUCAUCCAGAGUUCCCACCUCAUCGCCCACCAGUCUGUGCACACCGAAGAGAAGCCCUACGUGUGCCCCGACUGCGGGAAGCGCUUCGCCCGCCACCAGUACCUCAUCAUGCACCGCCGCGUCCACACGGGCGAGAGGCCCUAUGAGUGCCGGGACUGCGGGAAGAGCUUCCGCAAGAGCUCCGACCUCGUCCGCCACAAGACGGUGCACACGGGUGAGAAACCCUACAAGUGCCCCGUGUGCGGGAAGGGUUUCACCCAGAACUUCCGCUGUAAUGCUCAUAAAAAGGUCCAUCUUGUGGAGAAGGUUGACCAGCAGGAUUCUCCAUCGCAGGACACCCAGCAGAACAGCUCUGAGAACACUGCCUCACCAGCAGGUGCUGGUGGCCACAAAGAGGAGAAGCCCCAGCCAGUUGACUCCCAGCAGACAGAAGCAAAUGGCCCCAGCAUGAGGAUGGAGGAAGGGGCUGCGUGCCAGGAUCCUGAGCAGGAUGAGGCUCUAAAAGAGCAGUCAGAAGUGGAGCCAUGCCCUGUGCAAGGGCAGGAGGAUCUGGAUGAUCCUGAAGGCACUUUGGAGGAUCCCAAAGAAUCGGGUGUGCAUCCAGGUAUCUGUGUUGAAGGGCAGACGCACGAGUGUGCCAACUGCAGGAAAACCUUUCACUGUAGCAACAGCCUGAGCCAACACCAGCAGCUGCACAUGGUGGAGCAGCCCCACAAGUGUUCCGAGUGUGGGAACAGCUUUGAUGACAGCUCCGACCUCGCUUCCCACCAGCUGGAGAAGUGCUGCAAGUGUCCCGACAGUGGGAUAAAACUCGGUGAUAGCACCAAGCUCCGACAGCAGAGAUCGGUUCACAAAUCCGAGAAAUUCUAUCUCUGCUCUGACUGCGGGAAGUGCUUCAGUCGCAGCUCCAACCUCAAACAGCACAAGAAGCUCCACACUGGGGAGAGACCCCACAAAUGCCCUGAGUGCGGGCUGAGCUUCAGCAACACCUCACACCUGGUUGUUCACUACCGGAUCCACACCGGGGAGAGACCCUACAGGUGCCAUGAGUGCGGGAAGGGCUUUACCAUGAGCACUAAAUGCCUGAAGCACGAGAGGACCCACACAGGAGAAACUCCCUACAGGUGCUCCAAGUGUGGGAAUUGCUACAGGACCAAGAUUUCCCUGAUGUGCCACAUGAGGAUGCACAUGCAUUAAGAUGCAAGAGGAGCAGAUUGUGCCCUGCAAGGAUAAUUUGCUAUAAGGACAAGCUUUGGGUGACGCUCCAGCACCAUUUGGGACAGGGUUCUUCUUCCCCAAGAUUCCCAGAAGAAGAGAAAUGGGACCGAAGGCAAAGCUCAGGGAGUCCCCCUCGGACAGCAUCCUCCCUGCUGCGUCGCCUCUUGUUUGCAUCAGGUCUCUGUGGCUCCCGAAGCCUUUGCAGGGCUGGGAGACCUGCAGGGUGAUCAGCACGCUGGAAAUCUUUAUCAAAGCUGUCCUCCUGGCAACAGUGAUGCUAUUCCCCAGGGAUGCUGGCAGUCACGCCAGUCCUCCCACGUGAAACAGAGGAGGCAGGGACGCCUGGUGAGACAGCUGCAGCAGAAGUAUCACAUUCAUUGUCUGAUCAAGCCGCCCUUGUUGGGCAUUUCUGGGCCAAAAAAAAAAAAGAUCGUAAGUCAGAUUCUCCUCCCCCCCUUAUUUUCAGUCUGGGCUUAAUGCUCAUGAGCAGCACUCAAGCAUUCAGUGAUGGAGGGGUUGUUGAAAUCCCAGGCAGUGUGGGGGAUUUUCUUGCUCCAUGGAGGGAGGGGAAUGCUGUUUCUGUACCCUCUUGGCAUCAAGCAAAGGGUCGAAUGUUCUUCUUUUCACUAUUGUUUUAUGUUUAGAUUUUUUUUUUCACUUAAUAAAAUCCUGAUGGGUUUCUGUUAUGGUUUGACCCGGCCGGCAGCUAAACACCACACAGCCAUUUGCUCACCCUCCCCUCUCCCUCUCUGGGAUGGGGGAGAGAAAUGGGAAAGUGAAGCCCAUGAGCUGGGAUAAAGACAGUUUAAUAAGACAGGAAAAUAAUAAUAACAACAAUAAUAAUAACAAUAAUGAUGAGAAUAGUGCUACUAUUAAUAAUGUGUACGAAACAAAUGAUGCACAAUGCAAUUGCUCACCACCCGCUGACAGAUGCUCAGUCUAACCCCGAGCAACCCAGCCCCCCACCUUGGCUAGCCACCCCUAUAUAUUGUUUGAUGUCAGAUGGUAUAGAAUGCCCCGUUGGCCAGUUUGGGUCAGCUGUGCUGGAUCUGUCCCCUACCAGCUCUUACUGCACCCCCAGCCUGCCCGUUGGCAGGACAGAGUGAAAAGCUGAAACAUCCUUGACUUUGUGUAAGCACUGCUCUUAAAAUUAAAACACCAGCAUGUUAUCAGCACUCUUCUCAUCCUAAUCCAAAACAUAGCACCCUACCAGCUGCUAGGAGGAAAAUUAACUGUCCUAACUGAAACCAGAACAGUUUCCAUGUGAAGUGUGGGCAGCAUGGGCUCUGCAUGGGGAUGGAGCUGGACUGCUCUGACCCUUUUUUGGGGUGUAGAGGGGAGGAGAUGCAGCCUCUGGAGUUGAGGAAUUGCUUGGGGAAGCAGCCCAGGGCUUGGGGUGGGCAACUUCAUGCAAACCCACACUGAUUUCUUACCUGUUUUCCUAAGAAACUGAGCCAAAUCCCCCUUGAAGUGCGACUUUCCAGAAGCACCCUGUCUAAUUUUGGCUGGGAGAUGCUGGGAGAAAAGAUAACGGCCUAAGCAAUAAAUUUGUGUGUAUGUGGGUGAUCCAGCAAGGUCUUUGAGCCUCUUCCCAUCUUUUCGCCCUGUAAGGGUUUUGUUGGAGGUUGCAGCUCCUCCGUCACCCACUUUGUCCUGCCCCUUGGAUGCAUGGGGCUGCAUGGCCAAACCUUCCCUUGGGGUUUUAGCAGGGUUGCAUGCAUAUCGUGGUUGUGGGGUUCUUGCAGGUAUGGGGAGAAUGAGCAAGAAGGAAAAAGAGAAAUCCUGAGAAGGUCCAGGAGAAGGUGGGACAAGGCUUGGAGGGGUGAUAUGGGGUGAUGGAGAGGAGCUGGGGCAUGGUGGAGCCUUGGAGAACCAUAACAGGGAAAAGGGGAAGGGCCUGGGAGACAGGACCCACCAAGGGGGAAGCCCAGGCAGCAUUAGGGAAACUGAGCCCCAGCCACUAGUUUUCUCCCAGAAAAAGGUUUAUGUAUAUGCUCACUGUGGGCCCUCAUUCAACUGCAGGAGACACUGGACCUGAAACCAGCACUUGCACAUGGGUCAAUGGCCCUACAAAUGCCCUGAGUGCAGGAAGGGUUUCAGCAUGAGCUCCUGUUGCAUCGUGCAUCAGUGAGUCUGUAGAGGGAAAGAGGCUGAGAAGCUGAAAUUUCUAUUGCAGGACACGCAGCAGAACAACUUUGAGAACACAGCCUCACCAGCCAAAUAUUUGCUUGGACAGAGCUUCACCCACAGCACCAACCUUUUUAUUCGCUGGUGACUCGACACCAGGGAGAGACCCUACAGCUGCCUUGACUGCAGGAAGAGCUUCUGUAGUAGCUCCGACCUUGUGUGACACCAGAGGACCCUCAGCGGGGAGAGACUCUAUAAAUGUCCUGAAAAUGUGCAUCAUCCAAGUGCAUCACCCACCAGAGGAGCCAUAUGGAAGAAGCUCCCUGCAAGUGCUCAGUGUGCCGGAAGAGCUACAAGGCCAAGGUGUCCCACCAGAAACUGCAUGUGGAGGAGAAAGCGUUGUGCAAGAAUGGGGUCAGCCCAUCUGGAGCUGGUGAGAUCUAAAAGUCCAACCCUAAACCUCUAGCACCUCAUAAGGAAAGGAACCCGCUCUUCCUCAGGUAACAUCUGUGGGAUGUUGUCUGAGUUUCAGCAGAGUUUCAUCUGCUUUUCUUCUUCCUAUAUUUAUAAAGAACAGCUGAAUUCCAUAAAACAUUGGCUAGGGAAGGGGUCAACAGGUAAGAUGUGGAAAAGCACAUUUUUAACUUACUAAGAAUUAAAGCUUUUAAAGAUUUUUUUUCCCUCCUAUUUAAGAAGUGUUCUUUCCUUUUUUUUUUUUUUUUUUUUUUUUUUUACCUUUCACAUUGGUUCCAUGGCAGGUUCAAACAAUUUUGUUCCAUUGCACAGGUUUGAACACCAAAUCCCUGCACUGCUCUGCCCUGGGUUUCUGCACUUCUGCGCUGAGUACCCAGUGCUCCCACAGUGCGUUGAAUAUUCAUGGCGAUUUAUUUCAAGCUGGGUUUAGUCAGAGCGAGGCAAAGUGGGUGGAAAAGCCCUUAUUUUUGGUCUAUGCGUAUAAACCCCAUUCUCUGAUUGGUAUCUUUAGGACAAAGCCUGAGUAGAAAUUCUGAUUUCUCCUAAAAGAGUUUGCUGUGUGCACACCUCAUGAUUUUCCACCUCUUUUUCUUAAGGAAUUACUCAUCAAAAGUCAAUUUGCUGACUGCUAGGGUGUUCAGGAGCAACUGAAACUCAUCUCUAAAAAGAAUAAAAUUGUUUUUUAGUCCCAUUAAA
Molecule: RNA transcript, 5144 nt
Organism: Anas platyrhynchos (mallard)
Lineage: Eukaryota; Metazoa; Chordata; Aves; Anseriformes; Anatidae
Source: RefSeq, a predicted model, not a curated record